GACCAAGAAGUCUAACAUGUGUGCGAGUCAUUGGGUAUUUUGUUGAAACCUAAGGGCGCAAUUAAAAUAACUAUUUUAUGGGAUUACAAGUGAAUUAAUUUUCAUUUCUUCAUCCCGGGGCGUUCUAUACGAACAUGGUGCAAGCAAUUGAACCCUCUGUUCAAGAGCGUACCUUGAGCAUACAUGCUGUGACCCGAAAGAUGGUGAACUAUACCUGAUCAGAUCGAAGCCAGGAGAAAUUCUGGUGGAGGAUCGAAACAGUUCUGACGUGCAAAUCGAUUGUCAGAAUUGGGUAUAGGGGCGAAAGACCAAUCGAACCAUCUAGUAGCUGGUUCCCUCCGAAGUUUCCCUCAGGAUAGCUGGCGCAAAGAAUUAUAUUAUAUAUAAUCUUAUCUGGUAAAGCGAAUGAUUAGAGGCCUUGGGGCCGAAACGACCUCAACCUAUUCUCAAACUUUAAAUGGGUAAGAACCUCAUCUUUCUUGAUCUGAAGAUAUUGGGGUUUAGAUAUAUUGUGCCCAGUGGGCCACUUUUGGUAAGCAGAACUGGCGCUGUGGGAUGAACCAAACAUGAUGUUACGGCGCCUAAAUUAAUGACUCAUAUUGAUACCAUGAAAGGCGUUGGUUGCUUAAAACAGCAGGACGGUGGACAUGGAAGUCGUAAUCCGCUAAGGAGUGUGUAACAACUCACCUGCCGAAGCAACUAGCCCUUAAAAUGGAUGGCGCUCAAGUCAUAUGCCUAUACAUCAUCGCUAGAAUAAAAAUUGUUGACCAUUUUUGGUCAUCAUUAUGAAAUUCUAGUGAGUAGGAGGGUACAAUGGUGUGCGCAGAAGUGUUUGGCGUGAGCCUGCAUGAAGCCGCCAUUGGCACAGAUCUUGGUGGUAGUAGCAAAUAAUCGAAUGAGAUCUUGGAGGACUGAAGUGGAGAAGGGUUUCGUGUGAACAGUGGUUGAUCACGAGUUAGUCGGUCCUAAGCUUUAUGCGAAAGCUGUUUAAUUUAUGUUACACACAAAAUUUUUGUUGUACAUAAUUCAAUAAAAGCGAAAGGGAAUACGGUUCCAAUUCCGUAACCUGUUGAGUAUACGUUUGUUUAUUAAAAAUGGGUCUUAUUACACUCAUCCUGGCAACAGGAACGACCAUAGAGAAGCCUUCGAGAGAUACUGGAAGAGUUUUCUUUUCUGCUAAACAAACGUAUCACCAUGGAAGUCUUUUAUAGAGAGAUAUGGUGGAUGGCUUGGAAGAGCAUGACAUUUACUGUUGUGUCAGUAUUUUCUCCUUGGACCUUGAAAAUCUAUGGUGGGGCCACGCAAACUUCUCAACAGACCGUACCGAUAUCCGCAG
RNAcentral lists this ribosomal RNA (1336 nucleotides) under Camptochaeta exquisita. RNAcentral's name for it is "partial large subunit ribosomal RNA". It matches the Rfam family "Eukaryotic large subunit ribosomal RNA", at positions 664 to 1859 of the family's 3401-position model. The record is from RNAcentral. Lineage: Eukaryota; Metazoa; Arthropoda; Insecta; Diptera; Sciaridae.